RNAcentral lists this ribosomal RNA (485 nucleotides) under uncultured bacterium. RNAcentral describes it as "bacterial SSU rRNA". It matches the Rfam family "Bacterial small subunit ribosomal RNA", at positions 28 to 511 of the family's 1533-position model. The record is from RNAcentral.
GACGAACGUUGGCGGCGUGCUUAAUACAUGCAAGUCAACUGAAGCACCGGUAGUAAUACUGGUGUGGAGGUGGCGCACGGUGAGUAACACGUAGGUAAUCUGCCUUCAGGUCUGACAUAACCCCGAGAAAUCGGGGCUAAUAGCAGAUGAUGCAGCGGCUUGACAUCAAGACAGUUGUUAAAGCUUCGGCGCCUGAAGAUGAGCCUGCGUCUGAUUAGCUAGUUGGCGGAGUAAUAGCCCACCAAGGCGACGAUCAGUAGCUGGUCUGAGAGGAUGAUCAGCCACACUGGAACUGAGACACGGUCCAGACUCCUACGGGAGGCAGCAGUAAGGAAUAUUGCUCAAUGGGAGAAAUCCUGAAGCAGCAACGCCGCGUGAGGGAUGAAGGGCUUUUGCUCGUAAACCUCUGUAGUGAGGGAAAAAAUUUCCAAUUCUAUGGAAUAUGAUGGUACCUCAAAAGUAAGCCCCGGCUAACUACGUGCCAG